RNAcentral lists this ribosomal RNA (726 nucleotides) under Anhemialges gaudi. RNAcentral describes it as "partial large subunit ribosomal RNA". Lineage: Eukaryota; Metazoa; Arthropoda; Arachnida; Sarcoptiformes; Analgidae. The record is from RNAcentral.
GAUUUUAUACUAAUUUUUAGUUAUUAAAUUUUUUUAAAAUUAGUAUAGGGAGUAAUACGCUUUCGUUUUUAGGGUUAUCUAGCUUGAGUUUUUAUUUAAAGGGAAACCCUUUAUUUGAUAUAAUAUUUUCUUAUAUUGGUUUUUAUUUCUUUAAUAGUAAGAAAUUGUGUAAUAACUUAAUUUUAUUUUUUAUAAAGUUUUACUUGUUUUUGUAUUAUAAGUAAAUUAAUAAAUUAGUAGGAUUUUUUUUUGGUUUUUGGAUUUUUUUUGGAUUUUUUUGUUAUAAAUUAUUUUAGUUUGCUGAUUUUUUUUUAGACUGGUUAAUAAAAUCUUAGCUAAAAGAUUUUUAGUCACCCCUGCUCUAUGCUCUUUGUAAAUGGCUGUUUAUUAACACUAAGGUAGCAAAAUCAUUAGUUAUUUAAUUAGUAACUUGUAUGAAUGGGGCUUCUAAGAAUAUAUUAUUUUUGUUUUUGAAUUUAUAUAUUUGUUGAAAAUAACAAUAUAUACCUUAAGACUAAAAGACCCUAAAAUUUUUAUAAUUUUAAAAUUAUUUGGUUGGGGUAAUAAAAUAUUUUUAAAUAUAUUUAUCUUUUUAUUUCUAUGAACUUUUAUAUAAAGAUAAAUUGUAAAAUACUUUAGGGAUAACAGCUUAAUUAUUUUUAAGAGAUCUUAUUAAUAAAAUAGUUUUAGACCUCGAUGUUGGAUUGAGAAGACUUUUUGGGGUAG